ACAUUCCUGUUAUGAGAGUGAAGUCGCUGGGCCAGGGGUCCGAGGAGAGGGAAUGUUUUGCUGACAAACUCGGGGAGCCAGGCCUUGAGCAAUGAAUCACCACCGGCCGAACAGCCGCUGGCACGGACCCGGCCCCUGCCAACCCCGUGCUUCCCUGGCCACACGGGCUUGAAUCCUCCCAACAUCCCCUUGAGUUACCUGCUCUUAUUCCUCCCAUUUCACAGAUGAGGAAACGGAGGCUCAGAGAGGUACAUGGCUUGCCCUAAGGCCUCGCAGCCAGUAAGUGGUGGAACCGGGAUUCACACUUGAACCUGAGAUGCUGUAUUGACCAUGGCCUCCUCCAGAGCAGGAUUGUGACGGGGCUGACCAGGGGACCAUGGUCCUGGCUGAGGGCACUGCUCAGGCCAAGAGCCGUCUGGACUUGAAUCAGCUGGAGGCGGCUGGACACAAGUACUUGUUUCCGUUUGACAGGCCCCGGGACCUGAAGCAGGGUUUAGAGUAGGGGUUUCUGCUGGAUGGGGGGCAGGCCCCCAGCAUGGGAGCCAGCUGCCUAGGAGAGCCAGGGUAAGGAGAGGACCCUGCUGAGAGGG
This is a long non-coding RNA of Myotis lucifugus (little brown bat), 590 nucleotides long. RefSeq lists it as uncharacterized. Lineage: Eukaryota; Metazoa; Chordata; Mammalia; Chiroptera; Vespertilionidae. The record is from RefSeq and is a predicted model, not a curated record. The transcript has 3 exons.